This is a small nucleolar RNA of Myotis lucifugus (little brown bat), 74 nucleotides long. The record is from Ensembl. Lineage: Eukaryota; Metazoa; Chordata; Mammalia; Chiroptera; Vespertilionidae.
UGGAUCAGAGGUGACCACUGGUGGCAUAGGAGUCAUGGUGACGGCUGCUAUGUGUCUGGAACUCUGAGGUCCAA